AGAGGUAACUUGAAUAAGUGAAAGCUGCUAACUUAUCACUUUAGCGGUUAAAUUCCGUUUAUACCUCUU
RNAcentral lists this transfer RNA (69 nucleotides) under Galiblatta cribrosa. RNAcentral's name for it is "tRNA-Ser". Lineage: Eukaryota; Metazoa; Arthropoda; Insecta; Blattodea; Blaberidae. The record is from RNAcentral.